CCGGGGAUAACAGGCUGAUCUUCCCCAAGAGUCCAUAUCGACGGGAUGGUUUGGCACCUCGAUGUCGGCUCGUCGCAUCCUGGGGCUGGAGUCGGUCCCAAGGGUUGGGCUGUUCGCCCAUUAAAGCGGUACGCGAGCUGGGUUUAGAACGUCGUGAGACAGUUCGGUCCCUAUCCGCUGUGCGCGUAGGAGUCUUGAGAAGGGCUGUCCCUAGUACGAGAGGACCGGGACGGACGAACCUCUGGUGUGCCAGUUGUUCUGCCAAGGGCAUGGCUGGUUGGCUACGUUCGGGAGGGAUAACCGCUGAAAGCAUCUAAGCGGGAAGCCUGCUUCGAGAUGAGGGCUCCCACCCACUUGAUGGGGUAAGGCUCCCAGUAGACGACUGGGUUGAUAGGCCGGAUAUGGAAGCACGGUAACGUGUGGAGUUGACCGGUACUAAUAGGCCGAGGGCUUGUCCUCAGUUG
RNAcentral lists this ribosomal RNA (464 nucleotides) under Streptomyces sp. WAC 01420. Its description in RNAcentral is "partial 23S ribosomal RNA". It matches the Rfam family "Bacterial large subunit ribosomal RNA", at positions 2468 to 2925 of the family's 2925-position model. Lineage: Bacteria; Bacillati; Actinomycetota; Actinomycetes; Kitasatosporales; Streptomycetaceae. The record is from RNAcentral.